GAAGAAAUGGCUGAGAGGUUUAAGGCGGUAGACUGUAAAUCUAUUAGAAUAUUCUAUCAUAGGUUCGAAUCCUAUUUUCUUCA
RNAcentral lists this transfer RNA (83 nucleotides) under Aphanomyces invadans. RNAcentral's name for it is "tRNA-Tyr". It matches the Rfam family "tRNA". From Rfam's summary of the family: Transfer RNA (tRNA) molecules are approximately 80 nucleotides in length. Their secondary structure includes four short double-helical elements and three loops (D, anti-codon, and T loops). Further hydrogen bonds mediate the characteristic L-shaped molecular structure. tRNAs have two regions of fundamental functional importance: the anti-codon, which is responsible for specific mRNA codon recognition, and the 3' end, to which the tRNAs corresponding amino acid is attached (by aminoacyl-tRNA synthetases). tRNAs cope with the degeneracy of the genetic code in two manners: having more than one tRNA (with a specific anti-codon) for a particular amino acid; and 'wobble' base-pairing, i.e. permitting non-standard base-pairing at the 3rd anti-codon position. The record is from RNAcentral. Lineage: Eukaryota; Oomycota; Saprolegniomycetes; Saprolegniales; Verrucalvaceae.